This 490-nucleotide ribosomal RNA is filed under the name uncultured bacterium. Its description in RNAcentral is "partial 16S ribosomal RNA". It matches the Rfam family "Bacterial small subunit ribosomal RNA", at positions 29 to 507 of the family's 1533-position model. The record is from RNAcentral.
AGUGAACGCUGGCGGCAGGCCUAAUACAUGCAAGUCGAACGGCAGCACAGUGGAGCUUGCUCCAUGGGUGGCGAGUGGCGGACGGGUGAGGAAUACAUGGGAAUCUGCCCAGUCGUGGGGGAUAACGUAGGGAAACUUACGCUAAUACCGCAUGCGCCCUUCGGGGGAAAGCCGGGGACCUUCGGGCCUUGCGCGUUUGGAUGAGCCCAUGUUGGAUUAGCUAGUUGGCGGGGUAAAGGCCCACCAAGGCGACGAUCGAUAGCUGGUCUGAGAGGAUGAUCAGCCACACUGGGACUGAGACACGGCCCAGACUCCUACGGGAGGCAGCAGUAGGGAAUAUUGGACAAUGGGCGCAAGCCUGAUCCAGCCAUGCCGCGUGAGUGAAGAAGGCCCUCGGGUUGUAAAGCUCUUUUGUCCGGGAAGAAAAGCAUCGGGCUAAUACCUCGGUGUUCUGACGGUACCGGAAGAAUAAGCACCGGCUAACUUCGUG